Molecule: ribosomal RNA, 468 nt
Filed under: uncultured bacterium
Lineage: Bacteria
Description: partial 16S ribosomal RNA
Rfam family: Bacterial small subunit ribosomal RNA
Source: RNAcentral
GACGAACGCUGGCGGCGUGCUUAACACAUGCAAGUCGAACGGAAAGGCCCUGCCUUUGUGGGGUGCUCGAGUGGCGAACGGGUGAGUAACACGUGAGUAACCUGCCCUUGACUUUGGGAUAACUUCAGGAAACUGGGGCUAAUACCGGAUAUGAGCUCCUGCUGCAUGGUGGGGGCUGGAAAGUUUCGGCGGUUGGGGAUGGACUCGCGGCUUAUCAGCUUGUUGGUGGGGUAGUGGCUUACCAAGGCUUUGACGGGUAGCCGGCCUGAGAGGGUGAACGGCCACAUUGGGACUGAGAUACGGCGCAGACUGCUACGGGAGGCAGCAGUGGGGAAUAUUGCACAAUGGGCGGAAGCCUGAUGCAGCAACGCCGCGUGCGGGAUGACGGCCUUCGAGUUGUGAACCGCUUUCGCCUGUGACGAAGCGUGAGUGACGGUAAUGGGUAAAGAAGCACCGGCUAACUACGUG